UACGUAGGGACCAAGCGUUGUUCGGAUUUACUGGGUGUAAAGGGCGCGUAGGCGGCAAUUCAAGUCAGCUGUGAAAUCUCCGGGCUUAACUCGGAACGGUCAGCUGAUACUGCUUUGCUAGAGUGCAGAAGGGGCAAUCGGAAUUCUUGGUGUAGCGGUGAAAUGCGUAGAUAUCAAGAGGAACACCUGAGGUGAAGACGGGUUGCUGGGCUGACACUGACGCUGAGGCGCGAAAGCGUGGGGAGCGAACAGG
RNAcentral lists this ribosomal RNA (253 nucleotides) under uncultured bacterium. RNAcentral's name for it is "partial 16S ribosomal RNA". It matches the Rfam family "Bacterial small subunit ribosomal RNA", at positions 524 to 776 of the family's 1533-position model. The record is from RNAcentral.